This is a long non-coding RNA of Aegilops tauschii subsp. strangulata, 366 nucleotides long. RefSeq lists it as uncharacterized. Lineage: Eukaryota; Viridiplantae; Streptophyta; Magnoliopsida; Poales; Poaceae. The record is from RefSeq and is a predicted model, not a curated record.
GGCGACUUUGCUGAAGGCACCAUUGAACCAGCUUGUUCCAGCAGACACAUAUCAACAAGUAGAGGAAAUAAGGGCGGAGGAUCAGCCAUACUGAUAAAGGACAUCAUAUGUUACUCCAAAGGAUUCAUGUCGCGCCAGUCCAAAGGCUUCGGAGGCUUCCUGCCGCUCCCAUCCUCUUUGCCACUGGGCGAAGGAACUUACAAUUCUCCUCUCUGGAAGCAUAUGUAGCUUCAAGUAGUUGAAGGUAUGUGGAUGCAGAGGAAGAUGAGUAUAUGUUGAAUGUUAAUGUAAUCGUAAUCUAGAGAUUAUUAUCAGCAAAAUGGUACGUUUGCUAUGCUAAAAUUGGUAAAAAAUGGUUUAAUGAUA